AGUGAACGCUGGCGGUAGGCCUAACACAUGCAAGCCGAACGGCAGCACAGUAAGAGCUUGCUCUUACGGGUGGCGAGUGGCGGACGGGUGAGGAAUACAUCGGAAUCUACUUUUUCGUGGGGGAUAACGUAGGGAAACUUACGCUAAUACCGCAUACGACCUACGGGUGAAAGCAGGGGAUCUUCGGACCUUGCGCGAUUGAAUGAGCCGAUGUCGGAUUAGCUAGUUGGCGGGGUAAAGGCCCACCAAGGCGACGAUCCGUAGCUGGUCUGAGAGGAUGAUCAGCCACACUGGAACUGAGACACGGUCCAGACUCCUACGGGAGGCAGCAGUGGGGAAUAUUGGACAAUGGGCGCAAGCCUGAUCCAGCCAUACCGCGUGGGUGAAGAAGGCCUUCGGGUUGUAAAGCCCUUUUGUUGGGAAAGAAAGGCAGCAGGUUAAUACCCCGCUGUUCUGACGGUACCCAAAGAAUAAGCACCGGCUAACUUCGUG
Molecule: ribosomal RNA, 492 nt
Filed under: uncultured bacterium
Lineage: Bacteria
Description: partial 16S ribosomal RNA
Rfam family: Bacterial small subunit ribosomal RNA
Source: RNAcentral